Molecule: ribosomal RNA, 265 nt
Filed under: uncultured soil bacterium
Lineage: Bacteria
Description: partial 16S ribosomal RNA
Rfam family: Bacterial small subunit ribosomal RNA
Source: RNAcentral
AGAAUCAACGCUGGCGGCGUGCCUAACACAUGCAAGUCGAACGCAGGUAUCCCGCAAGGGAUGCCUGAGUGGCGAACGGGUGAGUAACGCGUGGGUGACCUACCUUCGAGUGGGGGAUAACGUCCCGAAAGGGACGCUAAUACCGCAUGACAUCCUGCCUUUGAACAGGCGGAGAUCAAAGCCGGGGAUCGUAAGACCUGGCGCUUGUUGAGGGGCCCGCGUCCGAUUAGCUAGUUGGUGGGUAAUGGCUCACCAAGGCGACGAU